Molecule: long non-coding RNA, 3181 nt
Organism: Cyprinus carpio carpio
Lineage: Eukaryota; Metazoa; Chordata; Actinopteri; Cypriniformes; Cyprinidae
Source: Ensembl
GGCUUAUUGCUUUUAUAAAACGGUUAUACCAUAUAUGUAGCAAGGUUUCACAAAAUAAAAAAAAGCUAAUAAAAUGUAAUGAUAUUAAUAAAAACAUUAUUCUUCCACCUAACAAUGUAGUUCCUCAGAAACGGUUGUGGGUGCAACAAAGUGGUUGCAGAGCAACAACAGACGUAAACUAAGGUGUAUGCUUGUAGAGUAAUUUACAACAGCUUCGAACACGGCUCAACCAAUCAGAAUCAAGGACUGGAACUAUCCCUUUUAUAAUAUGGGUUUUAUUCAUAAAAUGUACUUUUAUCUGCAUUUUAGAUCUUUAAGAGUUGCUAGAAGUCCUCCAACCUGAACUCUUUGACAUGCUAGAGUGUUCAUCACCAGAUGACAACAUUGACUCUUCAGGGUGUUUGUCAGCAGCUGGCAACUUUGACUCUGCGGUGAGCUCCACUGAACACAAUGUCAUUGUCUCACAGUAGAUGGGGACAUUAACUCUGCUGUGAGUCUCAAAGCAGAUAGGGACGGUGCCUGUGCAGUGAGUGCCAAAGCAGAUGGGGGGAUUGCCUGUGCAGUGCAUCCCAAAAUAAAUGGGGGCCCUAUGAAGUGCAUCCCAAAGUAGAUGGGGGCAUUGCCUGUGCAGUGCGACCCAAAAUAGAUAGGGGAACCGCCUCUCUAGUGCACCUCAAAGUAGAUGGCAUCACUGACUCCAUUCUAACAGGAGAGCUGGACAAGAGUAAGUUUACUGUCAUAACCCAAAACAGCUGUAACAUUUAAAUUUUUAUUUUUUAUUUUUUUUAUUCUCUUUUAACAGAUCACAUUUGUAGGCAGUACAAAUUUGGUGGCAGGCUGGGUCAAGGAGGAUUUGGCUCAGUGCGUAAAGGGAUUCACUACAAGGAUGGUCUUAAGGAUUUUCACAGUCUUUCAGUGGCACAAGACCGUACAUGCCUCCGGAGUAUUAUGACAGAGGCUUUUACCAUGCAAAGCCCGCAACAGUGUUUUCACUGGGGGUGCUUCUGUUCUGUUCUGUUCGUAAUGCUGCCUGGAUGUUUUCCACAAGCCAGUGAAUUAUACUUCUUGAGCAAUGACCAGUCCAUGUUUGCUGUGUCACAAGAAUGCAUCUAUUUUUUUGUCAGCUUGUCUGCAGAGUCAUACAGAGAACAGGAUUCUUCUGGAGCAAAUGUCUUAUCAUGACUGGUUGAUGUUGGGUUUUCAUAAACACCCACCACGUAAUUACAUCUAACCUGCAUUCCCAUCAUCGAUAAAAGUAUGUUUAAACAUUAUUUUUAGAAUGUUGCCUGCUUUUAAUAAUGCAUGUUUUGUAUGCUGUUUAUUUUGUGUGUUGAUAAAGCUUAUUUAUGUUUUUGUUUCAGGUCACUGCAUAAGACAUGGAGAAAAGCAGAAAACGGCCACCCGGUGGUUUUCUCUCUUCAGUCAGCAUUGUGUCUGGCAGGCUAACAUGAGUGGCAUUUCUGUCCCUUAGGGAUGUUUAAAUAUUGUAUAUUGUAUAUACACAGUGUAAAUACUUUUUUAAUAAUUAAAAUAAUUAUUAUAUACUUACGCCUUAUUACAGGCCUAGGGAGUUAAAAAUAUUGUAUAUUGUAUAUAGUGUAAAUAGUUUUAUACUAUAUUUAAAAUAUUUAUUUAACAUCUCUCUACAUAGGACUUAUUACUUUCUUAGGGAUGUUUAAAUAGUGUAUAUAGUUAUACAAUACUGUAAAUUGUUUUUAAUAAAUAACUUUUUUAUUUAAAAAAUCUUUAUAUAUUUAUAAUAUAUUAGAAAUAAAAUAUAUUUAUAGUAAAAAUAUUAAUAGUAUUGCACUGGUUAUGUUAUUGCAUUUAGUUGUGGUGUGUCUUAAAGAGCUUCACAGCACAUUUCCCUGACACAAUGUCAUGUGCGGUGACUGUAAAGAAGCGCACUUUCAUGAGAAAAAAAUAACUUUAAUCAUAAGUCGAACACUCUGGAAAAUCACAGGGAAACAAAACCAUGCAAAAAAUAUAAGAACAGACAAAGGAACUGAGGAAGCACAGCUUAAAAACAUUUUAAUGGUAAAACAGAACAGGUAAAAAGGAACUAAUUACCAAAUAAGGAAACUAAUUGAGAUAUCAGGCAUACAGAGGGAAAAUGAAAGUGCAAAGAAACUGAACGGACAGAGACUGUGACAUGUAAUGACCCAACAGAAUCCUGCAAAGUGAUCACUUCUGUCACUUCUGAAGCUGCUACGGUCCCAGAGCUCUCUAUCAUGGCAACCUCAGUCCCAGAAAAGUCAAGAAAUGUAUUAUAAAUGGUUAAACAAUAAACACACACUCCAAAAUAUUGGGUUAAAAACAUAUUUGGCAACCCAGUGCUGGUUAAAUAUUGGACAGAAGACAUGCUGGAAUAUUUUGACCUAGUUGGCUGGGUUAAGUGUUUAUUUAACUCAACUAUUGUUUAAAAAUUACUUUAUUGCUGGCUUAAAAAGGGGUGGAAACUAGAAAUCAUACACAGAAUUACUAGAGGCAACAGUAAUAAUCAAAAGUAACAUUUUAAUUAAAGUGUGUUCAAUGAUUUUCUCUAAUCCCUUUUCAUUGAAAUAGUAUUUAUUCUCGUGCCAUUGUGUUGCUGAAAUCUGAGCCAGUGAUGGGCUGCUGUUUGGCGGUGUAACUGUAAACAUCAGACCGCCGCCUUGCGUAUCACUCGUAACUGAAAGAUGCUGUGACUGACUCCAUAACCUGCCCAUAAACAAACAUUACUGACAUUAGAGAACAUAUUUUAACAUAAAAAUGAAAUAAAUUCAUUAUCAGUUUAUGUUGUGCAAGGCAAAAUGCAUUUCCAUCAUGCAAUAUGACCAUUGCCCAUUAGCUGACUGACAUCCCAUCGCUGUGUGAUUCUUUUUAAAUAUUUACAGCACAAUAAAGAUUUUAUAGAGCAAAUAAAAUGUACACAAACACAAAUUUCACUGAAGAAGUGCACAAAUUAGGAGACGCUGAGAACCGCUCUCUUCUGAAGAGGAUGCAGAAAGCCUGUGCUCUGACUGUAACUCAACUCUUCUGUGUAUAGUUUCAGCUGUCAGUGAGACUGACCCUGCCACUAGCCCAGUGGCUGGGUAACACAAAAACUACCCAACAGCAACACAACAUAAGACCCAACAGGCUUAACCCAGUUUUUGGGUAGAAAAAAUAACCCAGCAUUUUUUAUUGCAUCACAUCAGCA